This 253-nucleotide ribosomal RNA is filed under the name uncultured bacterium. RNAcentral's name for it is "partial 16S ribosomal RNA". It matches the Rfam family "Bacterial small subunit ribosomal RNA", at positions 524 to 776 of the family's 1533-position model. The record is from RNAcentral.
UACGUAGGGUGCAAGCGUUAAUCGGAAUUACUGGGCGUAAAGCGAACGUAGGCGGCUUGGCAAGUCAGGGGUGAAAUCCCAGUGCUCAACACUGGAACUGCCUUUGAAACUGCCAGGCUUGAAUCCUGGAGAGGCGAGUGGAAUUCCGAGUGUAGAGGUGAAAUUCGUAGAUAUUCGGAAGAACACCAGUGGCGAAGGCGACUCGCUGGACAGGUAUUGACGCUGAGGUUCGAAAGCGUGGGGAGCAAACAGG